AUACGGAGGGUGCAAGCGUUAAUCGGAAUCACUGGGCGUAAAGCGCGCGUAGGCCGCUUUGUAAGUCGGACGUGAAAGCCCUCGGCUCAACCGGGGAACUGCGUUCGAUACUGCGAGGCUUGAGUCCUGGAGAGGGUGGCGGAAUUCCGGGUGUAGGAGUGAAAUCCGUAGAUAUCCGGAGGAACACCGGUGGCGAAGGCGGCCACCUGGACAGGUACUGACGCUGAGGCGCGAAAGCGUGGGGAGCAAACAGGAUUAGAUACCCUGGUAGUCCACGCCGUAAACGAUGGAUGCUAGGUGUCGGGGAGCGAUCCUCGGUGCCGGAGUUAACGCAUUAAGCAUCCCGCCUGGGGAGUACGGUCGCAAGGCUGAA
Molecule: ribosomal RNA, 373 nt
Filed under: uncultured bacterium
Lineage: Bacteria
Description: bacterial SSU rRNA
Rfam family: Bacterial small subunit ribosomal RNA
Source: RNAcentral